This 322-nucleotide ribosomal RNA is filed under the name uncultured eukaryote. Its description in RNAcentral is "partial 18S ribosomal RNA". It matches the Rfam family "Eukaryotic small subunit ribosomal RNA", at positions 1470 to 1796 of the family's 1831-position model. The record is from RNAcentral.
CCCUUAGAUGUUCUGGGCCGCACGCGUGCUACACUGAGUGGAUCAGCGGGUCAGGUUGCGCGAAAGUGUUUCCUAAUCUUGAAAUCCGCUCGUGAUGGGGAUUGACGGUUGCAAUUUUCCGUCAUGAACGAGGAAUACCUUGUAAGCGCGGGUCAUCAUCCCGCGCUGAAUACGUCCCUGCCCUUUGUACACACCGCCCGUCGCUCCUACCGAUUGAGUGGUCCGGUGAGGCUUUGGGAUCUGAGCAAAGAGAGCGUUUCGCUCGUCUUGCCCGGAAAACUCAGUCGAACCUUAUCAUUUAGAGGAAGGAGAAGUCGUAACA